RNAcentral lists this ribosomal RNA (484 nucleotides) under uncultured bacterium. RNAcentral's name for it is "partial 16S ribosomal RNA". It matches the Rfam family "Bacterial small subunit ribosomal RNA", at positions 28 to 523 of the family's 1533-position model. The record is from RNAcentral.
GACGAACGCUGGCGGCGUGCUUAACACAUGCAAGUCGAACGAUGAAGCCGGAGCUUGCUCUGGUGAAUUAGUGGCGAACGGGUGAGUAACACGUGAGUAACCUGCCCUUGACUCUGGGAUAACUGCUAGAAAUGGUAGCUAAUACCGGAUACGACCCUCGGAGGCAUCUCCAGGGGGUGGAAAGAAUUUCGGUCAAGGAUGGACUCGCGGCCUAUCAGCUAGUUGGUGAGGUAACGGCUCACCAAGGCGACGACGGGUAGCCGGCCUGAGAGGGUGGCCGGCCACACUGGGACUGAGACACGGCUCAGACUCCUACGGGAGGCAGCAGUGGGGAAUAUUGCACAAUGGGCGCAAGCCUGAUGCAGCAACGCCGCGUGAGGGAUGACGGCCUUCGGGUUGUAAACCUCUUUUAGUAGGGAAGAAGCGAAAGUGACGGUACCUGCAGAAAAAGCACCGGCUAACUACGUGCCAGCCGCCGCAGUAA